This 228-nucleotide ribosomal RNA is filed under the name Proteus mirabilis. RNAcentral describes it as "partial 16S ribosomal RNA". It matches the Rfam family "Bacterial small subunit ribosomal RNA", at positions 429 to 649 of the family's 1533-position model. Lineage: Bacteria; Pseudomonadati; Pseudomonadota; Gammaproteobacteria; Enterobacterales; Morganellaceae. The record is from RNAcentral.
AGUACUUUCAGCGGGGAGGAAGGUGAUAAGGUUAAUACCCUUGUCAAUUGACGUUACCCGCAGAAGUAGCACCGGCUAACUCCGUGCCAGCAGCCGCGGUAAUACGGAGGGUGCAAGCGUUAAUCGGAAUUACUGGGCGUAAUGCGCACGCAGGCGGUCAAUUAAGUCAGAUGUGAAAGCCCCGAGCUGAACUUGGGAAUUGCAUCUGACACUGGUUGGCUAGAGUCU